Etheostoma spectabile (orangethroat darter) is the source of this 443-nucleotide long non-coding RNA. RefSeq lists it as uncharacterized. Lineage: Eukaryota; Metazoa; Chordata; Actinopteri; Perciformes; Percidae. The transcript has 3 exons. The record is from RefSeq and is a predicted model, not a curated record.
UAAAUUUCCCAUUCAUUUCUCCCAUUGACGUCUGGAAAAAUCCGUAUAUAAAGAGUUUUAAACCAUGCCUUAGGCUAACCAGCUACCAUGUUACUCAUAAACAUAUAACAUAUCAUUUCGCGUGAAAAAACAAACAGAAAAUGAAAAAGUCAAAGGUACAAGACUGUACAUAUUUUCAUUCUCGAACAAAGGAACUCCUCAUCCUAUAAAUCCCAGCGCACCACUGAAUAAAGGAAGCUAACGUUUGUUUAGCUAACAGUUAAUUCGGCAAACAACUAACUGAGACAGUAUGUAAUAACUUUAAAAGACCCUCAAAAUAAAACCUGAAAAUAACCGUUACAAUAUAUAACAGCUUUUACGUCAGCUGUAGCUUGCUUUUCCCAGUGUUUAGUUUAAGUUGACAUUAUUUUAGACUGAGUCAAGCUAAGCUUUCCACUGGAGGA